This 193-nucleotide unclassified non-coding RNA is filed under the name uncultured Clavulinaceae. RNAcentral's name for it is "sequence contains ITS1". The record is from RNAcentral. Lineage: Eukaryota; Fungi; Basidiomycota; Agaricomycetes; Cantharellales; Hydnaceae.
AUGGAUUGUGAUGGGGGCUGAUGCUGGUGGCCAUUUCUUGGCUGCAUUGUGCUCGCUUCUUAGCAAUAUUUGUCCAAACACUUGUGCACCUUUAUGAGGGGUUUCCGAGUUUGAUCUUGGAUAACCCCUCUUCACAUACCCUAAUAUCUUAAUGUUGAAUGUACAUGUGCCACUAUGGCCUUAAUAUAUAAUA